AUUUGAAUGACAUUUUGAAUUUGAAAUGUGGACAUUUCAUGAGUCCUCAUAUUUAAAAUAGCUUUAAAUACAUACUAAAGUUUUAUUAAAAAUGUAAAAAUGCAAACAGUUUUGUGUGAUGGGCAUGUUUAGGGAUAGGAAUAGUGUAGGGGGAGAGAAUGUACAGUUUGUAAAGUAUAAAAACCAUUACGCCUAUGGAAUGUCCUCACUAAGAUAACAAACAAACCUGUGUGUGUAUUUACACCACACCCUUGAGACGCUGCAGGACUGUGUUCAGAAGUGUAACGGCGGUGCCAUGGGUGUGGACCUAUAAAUCUAGCGGAUCUCCGCUGUUCACAGCAGUCUGACUAGAGUGUAACGGUCAUCUACUUGACCUCAGCUACAGCAAGAAAGAUGAACAAAAUCAUUUUCGGCUUCUCUGCAGUCGUUCUGUAUUUCGCAGCAGGCCCUGGAGUGUUAUGACUGUAAACUGGGAUUCGGGAGUCUUUGCUUCACAACCAAAACGACAUGUGAUGCUGGUCAGCAGUGCUUCAGUGGAUUAGGGACGGCUGCUGGUGUUGUGGAUAUUAAGAUGAAAGGA
Ctenopharyngodon idella (grass carp) is the source of this 580-nucleotide long non-coding RNA. RefSeq lists it as uncharacterized. NCBI's taxonomy places the organism in Eukaryota, Metazoa, Chordata, Actinopteri, Cypriniformes, Xenocyprididae. The transcript is spliced from 3 exons. The record is from RefSeq and is a predicted model, not a curated record.